AUGGGUCCUUCGUCCUAUCUGCAGGUACGAGAAUGUGUGGCGAGUCUUCGUCGCGAAAGAGUCGAAAUCCCCCGCAAGGCUCUCUUCAGCAAAGGCCUUUUUUCAUGCUUCAGACCCCACAAAACCGACGCUGUCUGUCGCGAGAUCUGCAAACGCAAGUCGGCACAUGCAGAUGCCUGUAAGCCUGUGUUAUGCACAUGCGACUCUUGUGUACACGGCGGUUUCAAGCAUGUAGCAGAGAACUCUCUCUUCUCUGGGUAUGGAGGCGGACGCACAUGCGAAGACGCUUUAUUUGUGUGCACACUUGCAUGGGGAUUCAAGUGCUCGUCACGGCGAGCCUCUCACCUUUUUUUGUGUUGCAUCGUGAUUCGCGUCGAUACGCAGGACGGCAAUCUACACACUGCCAGUUUAAUUUCAGAUGCGGACUGCAGGAAAGCCGAAAAGACGCUUCGUUUCCAAUCCACGAGUGGAAAACGACUUUCUCCCCAUGCAGAGGCCGCCUUCCCCGAAAGGGUUUCGACUCGCCACCCAUGCCUCUCGCAGUGCACACACACCGCAGGCAGGCCGUCCUCUCCGCUGCAUGUAAACAGGUUGGCCUCUACUACAUCUUUAUUUGAAUGCGAUUGUCACAAUCUCACCUGCGUAGACACACUAGCGAACCGGAGGGAAGCGAUCAAAAGUCGACGCAACUCACUAGCGUCGACGCACUCGUGAUUAUUAUGCGAGGAAUCAUUGAAGACACACGUAAUAUUUGUCUGUUAAUUGUGGGCGCAGCUUUUUGCGGGUGUGGAGACCUGCACAUGCAGGUGAGUUAGCGAAACCUGUUUCCUCAGCUUUCUUUCUGGGAGAGUAGGAAAGACUUUCUUCCGCGGACAUCCACGAACCUCUGUGCCCUCUGUAGACUCCUCCUCAUACCCGACGCGCAUCGCGGGGGUGUGGGGGGGGAGGGGAGGGAAGAGGAAGCGUGCGAGUGAGGCGACUCUAACUUUUUGCCUCCCAGAAAACAGUUUUUAAAUGCAGUGAAAACUUGAGAAGAGUCUUCCAGUGCGUUGGACGUCUGCAGAGAGACUUCCGACUGUCGCGCCAUGCUCAGACGACGCGGAGGUGAACAUACUCCCGCACACCAGACACUCAAAGCUUGACACGCACCAAGAAGAAAACGCCACACAGUCCA
RNAcentral lists this long non-coding RNA (1174 nucleotides) under Toxoplasma gondii VEG. Lineage: Eukaryota; Apicomplexa; Conoidasida; Eucoccidiorida; Sarcocystidae. The record is from RNAcentral.